RNAcentral lists this ribosomal RNA (497 nucleotides) under uncultured bacterium. RNAcentral's name for it is "partial 16S ribosomal RNA". It matches the Rfam family "Bacterial small subunit ribosomal RNA", at positions 28 to 507 of the family's 1533-position model. The record is from RNAcentral.
GAUGAACGCUGGCGGCGUGCCUAAUACAUGCAAGUCGAGCGAACAGACGAGGAGCUUGCUCCUCUGACGUUAGCGGCGGACGGGUGAGUAACACGUGGAUAACCUACCUAUAAGACUGGGAUAACUUCGGGAAAUCGGAGCUAAUACCGGAUAAUAUAUUGAACCGCAUGGUUCAAUAGUGAAAGACGGUUUUGCUGUCACUUAUAGAUGGAUCCGCGCCGCAUUAGCUAGUUGGUAAGGUAACGGCUUACCAAGGCGACGAUGCGUAGCCGACCUGAGAGGGUGAUCGGCCACACUGGAACUGAGACACGGUCCAGACUCCUACGGGAGGCAGCAGUAGGGAAUCUUCCGCAAUGGGCGAAAGCUUGACGGAGCAACGCCGCGUGAGUGAUGAAGGUCUUCGGAUCGUAAAACUCUGUUAUUAGGGAAGAACAAAUGUGUAAGUAACUAUGCACGUCUUGACGGUACCUAAUCAGAAAGCCACGGCUAACUACGUG